CUUGAGCACGUAGGUGGGUUUGUAAGUCAGGUGUGAAAGCCUUCUGUUCAACGGGAGAAUUGCAUCUGAAACUACGAAUCUUGAGUGUAGGAGGGGAGAAUGGAACUUCUGGUGGAGCGGUGAAAUGCGUAGAUAUCAGAAGGAACGCCGGCGGCGAAAGCGAUUCUCUGGCCUAUUACUGACACUCAGUGUGCGAAAGCUAGGGGAGCAAACGGGAUUAGAUACCCCGGUAGUCCUAGCCGUAAACGAUGGGCACUAAGUAGAGGGGAUUACCGACGUUCUCUCUGCCGUAGCUAACGCAUUAAGUGCCCCGCCUGGGGAGUACGGCCGCAAGGCUAAAACUCAAAAGAAUUGACGGGGGCUCGCACAAGCGGUGGAGCAUGUGGCUUAAUUCGAUGCAACGCGAAAAACCUUACCGGGGCUUGACAUGAUAGAAGUAGGAACCUGAAAGGGUAACGAACGGUAUCCAGUCCGUAGCUAUUACAGGUGUUGCAUGGCUGUCGUCAGCUCGUGUCGUGAGACGUUGGGUUAAGUCCCCUAACGAGCGAAACCCUUGUUUUUAGUUACCAGCGGGUUAUGCCGGGUACUCUAGAAAGACUGCCGUCGUCAAGACGGAGGAAGGUGGGGAUGACGUCAAGUCAUCAUGGCCCUUAUGCCCCGGGCUGCACACGUGCUACAAUGGUCGGUACAAACGGAAGCGAAGCCGAGAGGUGAAGCGAAUCCAAGC
RNAcentral lists this ribosomal RNA (727 nucleotides) under uncultured Planctomycetota bacterium. Its description in RNAcentral is "bacterial SSU rRNA". It matches the Rfam family "Bacterial small subunit ribosomal RNA", at positions 562 to 1278 of the family's 1533-position model. The record is from RNAcentral. Lineage: Bacteria; Pseudomonadati; Planctomycetota.